GACGAACGCUGGCGGCGUGCUUAACACAUGCAAGUCGAACGGAAAGGCCCCGCUUUUGUGGGGUGCUCGAGUGGCGAACGGGUGAGUAACACGUGAGUAACCUGCCCUUGACUUAGGGAGAACUUCAGGAAACUGGGGCUAAUACCGGAUAGGAGCUACUGCUGCAUGGUGGGGGUUGGAAAGAUUCGGCGGUUGGGGAUGGACUCGCGGCUUAUCCGCUUGUUGGUGGGGUAGUGGCUUACCAAGGCUUUGACGGGUAGCCGGCCGGAGUGGGUGACCGGCGACAUUGGUACUGAGGGAGGGCCCAGACUCCUACGGGGGGCAUCAGUGGGGAAUAUUGCGCAAUGGGCGGAAGCCUAAUGCAGCAACGCCGGGUGCGGGAUGACGGCCUUCGGGUGGGAAACCUCUUUCACCUGUGACGAAGCGUGAGUGACGAUAAUGGGUAAAGAAGCACCGGCUAACUACGUG
RNAcentral lists this ribosomal RNA (468 nucleotides) under uncultured bacterium. RNAcentral describes it as "partial 16S ribosomal RNA". It matches the Rfam family "Bacterial small subunit ribosomal RNA", at positions 28 to 507 of the family's 1533-position model. The record is from RNAcentral.